UUUGUAGUGUAAAUGUGUCUCAUGCAAUAUUUAGGACAUACUUAUGCUAAAA
RNAcentral lists this microRNA precursor (52 nucleotides) under Nomascus leucogenys (northern white-cheeked gibbon). RNAcentral describes it as "mir-1302 microRNA precursor family". It matches the Rfam family "mir-1302 microRNA precursor family". Lineage: Eukaryota; Metazoa; Chordata; Mammalia; Primates; Hylobatidae. The record is from Rfam by way of RNAcentral.